This 1096-nucleotide long non-coding RNA is filed under the name Salvia miltiorrhiza (redroot sage). Its description in RNAcentral is "long non-coding RNA (SMIL_LNC010144)". Lineage: Eukaryota; Viridiplantae; Streptophyta; Magnoliopsida; Lamiales; Lamiaceae. The record is from RNAcentral.
GGUUUAGUCGGGAGAUCCAACAUCGAUGGCGACUCUCGUCGAUUCACGGAACAACGGCAGCCGGAGCCAAGUGGCGCGGCAAUUCCGCCUGAGUCGGCAGAGAGCUAGGGGCCUAGGGCUCGUUCGACAGAGGGAACGAACGGCGACUGAUUUUCGCCGGGUUUUAGAGAAACCACGACAACGCCGACUCCCCCAAUUUCAGUGUAGCAACGCCGGGCUUGAGAAGAGAUGAGUAGCCGAAUGGUUUUGGCGAGCGGGAUAAGAGAUAGAGAAGAGAGAUCGAGGGAUGGGAGGCCGCUGACUCAGAGGGCGGAGAAAAUUAACGAAGGCGGAAAUCUCGAAAGAGAAAAGCGGUGGUCACCGACGAGUUGAGCGACUCGACACUAUAGGCGAUGAAAUUAGAUGGAAAAAGCGGCUCUAAGAGCAUCUCCAGCGGGCGAGGCGAAGCCCGCGUCGAUCCGCGUCGCUGGAGUGCCGCCCGCGCUGGAGACCCGGUCAGUUUCGAAGCCGAGGCGAAGGCGAGAGAUGUUUGGCGCGUCCGGCGGACGCGUCCCCUUCAAAGAAAAAAAUUGAAAAAUGCGUUUAAAUUUUAUGUAGAAGAGUGAAUUUGGGUUGCUGUAUGGAGUUGUUGUAUCUAUGGAGUUGCUGUAUCUAUGGAGAAGAAGAGUUGCAGACGGUGGGGAUGGGGUUUGGGUUGGGGUAGGUGGGGCCCAUGGAGUGAUUGCAUUUAAAUUUUUUUAUAAGAGAGAAUGCGUUUAAAAUUUUUUAUAAUUUCUUUUUCAUAUUUUUCAAAUUUUAAUUUUUGAUUUGUUUUAAAAUUCUAAUUUUUAUUGUAAUUUUAAUUAUGUUAAUUUUUUCUAUUUUUAAAAUUAUGUAAUUUUUAUUUAAUUAUUGUAAUGUUGAAUUUAUUGUUUUUGAUUUUUUUGAAUUUAUAGCAUUUUUUUAUUCUUUUUCGUAAUUUUUAGGAUUUUUAAGUUUUAGUAAUUUUUUAGUUUAAUUUUAAUGUAAUUAAAAAUUUAAAAAUAAAAAUGUAGAAAUAUGUAUUUUGUGGAAAUGAGGAUAUAAGACACCCUCUAAGCAUCAAUGCAUUGGAGAG